AUUGAACGCUGGCGGCAUGCCUUACACAUGCAAGUCGAACGGCAGCGCGGGAGCAAUCCUGGCGGCGAGUGGCGAACGGGUGAGUAAUAUAUCGGAACGUGCCCAUUAGUAGGGGAUAGCCCGGCGAAAGCCGGAUUAAUACCGCAUACGACCUGAGGGUGAAAGCGGGGGAUCGCAAGACCUCGCGCUAUUGGAUCGGCCGAUAUCAGAUUAGCUAGUUGGUGGGGUAAAGGGCUACCAAGGCAACGAUCUGUAGUUGGUCUGAGAGGACGACCAGCCACACUGGGACUGAGACACGGCCCAGACGCCUACGGGAGGCAGCAGUGGGGAAUUUUGGACAAUGGGCGCAAGCCUGAUCCAGCAAUGCCGCGUGCAGGAAGAAGGCCUUCGGGUUGUAAACUGCUCUUGUCAGGGAAGAAAUCCUUUGGGCUAAUACCUCGGAGGGAUGACGGUACCUGAAGAAUAAGCACCGGCUAACUACGUGCCAGCCGCCGCCGUAA
RNAcentral lists this ribosomal RNA (500 nucleotides) under uncultured bacterium. RNAcentral's name for it is "partial 16S ribosomal RNA". It matches the Rfam family "Bacterial small subunit ribosomal RNA", at positions 29 to 523 of the family's 1533-position model. The record is from RNAcentral.